GGGCCCGCACAAGCGGUGGAGCAUGUGGUUUAAUUCGAUGAUACGCGAGGAACCUUACCAGGGCUUAAAUGUAGUGGGACAGGUCUAGAGAUAGACCCUUCUUCGGACUCAUUACAAGGUGCUGCAUGGUUGUCGUCAGCUCGUGCCGUGAGGUGUCAGGUUAAGUCCUAUAACGAGCGCAACCCCUAUCGUUAGUUGCCAUCAAGUAAAGUUGGGAACUCUAGCGAAACUGCCGGUGCAAACCGUGAGGAAGGUGGGGAUGACGUCAAAUCAUCACGGCCCUUACGUCCUGGGCUACACACGUGCUACAAUGGCCGGUACAGAGAGCAGCCACUACGCGAGUAGGAGCGAAUCUACAAAACCGGUCUCAGUUCGGAUCGGAGUCUGCAACUCGACUCCGUGAAGCUGGAAUC
RNAcentral lists this ribosomal RNA (413 nucleotides) under uncultured bacterium. RNAcentral's name for it is "bacterial SSU rRNA". It matches the Rfam family "Bacterial small subunit ribosomal RNA", at positions 917 to 1333 of the family's 1533-position model. The record is from RNAcentral.